Long non-coding RNA from Myripristis murdjan (pinecone soldierfish), 240 nucleotides. RefSeq lists it as uncharacterized. The record is from RefSeq and is a predicted model, not a curated record. NCBI's taxonomy places the organism in Eukaryota, Metazoa, Chordata, Actinopteri, Holocentriformes, Holocentridae. The transcript is spliced from 3 exons.
CGAUGCCUCAUUCCUAAUGAAGCAACUGAAAGGAGAGCAUCAUGUCAGAGUGUCUCAUUCAAAUCCCCCCCUUUUCAGGGUCUGUGUGGCAGAAGGUGCUGGAGACAGAUUCAUGGACGUGUGAAGGAGGAGACAAUAGGCACCCUGCUGACCGUCAGCAUGGACAGAGCUGUUUCCCUUCUGGCUGCUGGAUGACUUGAUGCUCCGACUCAGAUGAACUUCAGAUGAAACACAGCAGAG